This 468-nucleotide ribosomal RNA is filed under the name uncultured bacterium. Its description in RNAcentral is "partial 16S ribosomal RNA". It matches the Rfam family "Bacterial small subunit ribosomal RNA", at positions 28 to 507 of the family's 1533-position model. The record is from RNAcentral.
GACGAACGCUGGCGGCGUGCUUAACACAUGCAAGUCGAACGGAAAGGCCCUGCUUUUGUGGGGUGCUCGAGUGGCGAACGGGUGAGUAACACGUGAGUAACCUGCUCUUGACUUUGGGAUAACUUCAGGAAACUGGGGCUAAUACCGGAUAGCAGCUCCUGCUGCAUGGUGGGGGUUGGAAAGUUUCGGCGGUUGGGGAUGGACUCGCGGCUUAUCAGCUUGUUGGUGGGGUAGUGGCUUACCAAGGCUUUGACGGGUAGCCGGCCUGAGAGGGUGACCGGCCACAUUGGGACUGAGAUACGGCCCAGACUCCUACGGGAGGCAGCAGUGGGGAAUAUUGCACAAUGGGCGGAAGCCUGAUGCAGCAACGCCGCGGGCGUGAUGACGGCCUUCGGGGUGUAAACCGCUUUCGCCUGUGACGAAGCGUGAGUGACGGUAAUGGGUAAAGAAGCACCGGCUAACUACGUG